This 253-nucleotide ribosomal RNA is filed under the name uncultured bacterium. RNAcentral's name for it is "partial 16S ribosomal RNA". It matches the Rfam family "Bacterial small subunit ribosomal RNA", at positions 524 to 776 of the family's 1533-position model. The record is from RNAcentral.
UACAGAGGUCUCGAGCGUUAGGCGGAAUCACUGGGCUUAAAGCGUGUGUAGGCGGAUCGUUAAGUGCCUUGUGAAAUCCCACGGCUCAACCGUGGAACUGCUUGGCAUACUGGCGGUCUUGAGCAACCUAGGGGCGAGCGGAACAAAUGGUGGAGCGGUGAAAUGCGUAGAUAUCAUUUGGAACGCCAAUGGUGAAAACAGCUCGCUGGGGGUUUGCUGACGCUGAGGCACGAAAGCUAGGGUAGCGAACGGG